GAUGAACGCUAGCUACAGGCUUAACACAUGCAAGUCGAGGGGAAACGAUGAGAGAGCUUGCUCUCUUAGGCGACGACCGGCGCACGGGUGAGUAACGCGUAUCCAACCUACCCAUUACAGGGGGAUAACCUUGCGAAAGUAAGACUAAUACCCCAUGGCAUUUUAUGGUGGCAUCAUUAUAGGAUUAAAGAUUUAUUGGUAAUGGAUGGGGAUGCGUCUGAUUAGCUUGUUGGCGGGGUAACGGCCCACCAAGGCAACGAUCAGUAGGGGUUCUGAGAGGAAGGUCCCCCACAUUGGAACUGAGACACGGUCCAAACUCCUACGGGAGGCAGCAGUGAGGAAUAUUGGUCAAUGGGCGAGAGCUUGAACCAGCCAAGUAGCGUGCAGGAUGACGGCCCUAUGGGUUGUAAACUGCUUUUAUAGGGGAAUAAAGUGAGCUACGUGUAGUUUAUUGCAUGUACCCUAUGAAUAAGGACCGGCUAAUUCCGUG
This 490-nucleotide ribosomal RNA is filed under the name uncultured bacterium. Its description in RNAcentral is "partial 16S ribosomal RNA". It matches the Rfam family "Bacterial small subunit ribosomal RNA", at positions 28 to 507 of the family's 1533-position model. The record is from RNAcentral.